Molecule: non-coding RNA, 18 nt
Filed under: Rattus norvegicus (Norway rat)
Lineage: Eukaryota; Metazoa; Chordata; Mammalia; Rodentia; Muridae
Source: RNAcentral
CAUCAGUACAUGUGCCAU